CAAUAUCAAUAAGCGGAGGA
This 20-nucleotide ribosomal RNA is filed under the name Tulasnella sp. Onv4. Its description in RNAcentral is "Epulorhiza sp. Onv4 partial 25S ribosomal RNA". The record is from RNAcentral. Lineage: Eukaryota; Fungi; Basidiomycota; Agaricomycetes; Cantharellales; Tulasnellaceae.